This 301-nucleotide ribosomal RNA is filed under the name uncultured bacterium. Its description in RNAcentral is "partial 16S ribosomal RNA". It matches the Rfam family "Bacterial small subunit ribosomal RNA", at positions 509 to 808 of the family's 1533-position model. The record is from RNAcentral.
CAGUCGCCGCGGUAAUACGUAGGGGGCGAGCGUUGUCCGAAGUUACUGGGCGUAAAGCGCGCGUAGGCGGCUUCUUAAGUCUGAGGUGAAAGGUUCAACGCUUAACGUGAACAGUGCCUUGGAUACUGGGGAGCUUGAGUAUGGGAGAGGGCAGUGGAAUGGCUGGUGUAGCGGUGAAAUGCGUAGAUAUCAGUCGGAACACCCAUGGCGAAGGCAGCUGCCUGGCCUAAUACUGACGCUGAGGUGCGAAAGCGUGGGGAGCGAACGGGAUUAGAUACCCGUGUAGUCCCUGUCUCUUAUA